This 301-nucleotide ribosomal RNA is filed under the name uncultured bacterium. Its description in RNAcentral is "partial 16S ribosomal RNA". It matches the Rfam family "Bacterial small subunit ribosomal RNA", at positions 509 to 809 of the family's 1533-position model. The record is from RNAcentral.
CAGCCGCCACGGUAAUACAGAGGAUUUAAGCGUUAUCCGGAAUGAUUGGGCGUAAAGCGUCUGUAGGUGGCUUUUCAAGUCCGUCGUCAAAUCCCAGGGCUCAACCCUGGACAGGCGGUGGAAACUACCAAGCUGGAGUACGGUAGGGGCAGAGGGAAUUUCCAGUGGAGCGGUGAAAUGCGUUGAGAUCGGAAGGAACGCCCGUGGCGAAAGCGAGGCUCUGGACCCUUUCUGACGCUGAGACGCGAAAGCCAGGGGAGCGAACGGGAUUAGAUACCCGAGUAGUCCCUGUCUCUUAUAA